Phascolarctos cinereus (koala) is the source of this 2794-nucleotide non-coding RNA. The record is from RefSeq and is a predicted model, not a curated record. Lineage: Eukaryota; Metazoa; Chordata; Mammalia; Diprotodontia; Phascolarctidae.
UACCCUUAGUGCUAGAAAUAGCCUAAGGAAGCCCUUCGUGCUCGGAAGGAAUUUAGGGAGGAUUACCCUUAGCACUAGAAAUAGCCUAGGAAGGAUUACCCUUAGUGCUAGAAAUAGCCUAAGGAAGCCCUUAGGCUAGGGGGGGCUUAAGGAAGAAUGGGACAGUCUCUAAGUGUAGUAAAGGUCCCAGAAAGAGAGGUGUUGGGUAAAGAGGUUUAUAAGGUAGUUCGGCAUGCUGGUUGGGAGAUCAAUUUUAAAAACUGCUAAGGCUUUAGUAGAUACUAUACUGAAGUGCUGCCCCUGGAUUCAAUAUAACGGGUUGGAUUUAUGUAAGUGGGAAGUGGUAGGCAGCCAAAUGGCCUCUUACGACAAAGAUAAUCUUGGGGAAAUUCCGGAGAGGCACCAAGCUAUUUAUACACUUAUAAAGGCCUCUAUAAAGGGGGUGCCGCGGCACCCCUUAAAAUGUGAGGUAGGGUGUCAGGCUGGGGAAGAACUUGACAAUGCAGACUCGGCACAAAGAAUGUGGUGUGCCAAUGUGGCAAUGCAAGAGAGAAAAACAGGAACCAGGGGAGGGGAACCUCCUGAGGCAGAGCCAGGUGGCCAGGAUGAGGCUUAGAGGAGGCAAGGUUUCAGUUCCUCUUGGGAAACAUCCCAGUGGGCCGGAGGAGAGUCCCCUCCUCACUGUGUAUCAGUAAGGCCCUCGCCCUCGGCCCCUCCUUUCAGUAAGGAGAAUGCUGACCCUAUCGCCCUGCUAACUGAAGGUCUGAGGAGUGUACAGAUCAGCGAAAGAGAAGGAGCAGAAAAGGGAGGGCCUAGCACCCAAUCAGCCUUUCAGCUCAUGUUGCAAGAGGCCCGAGAGGCAGGAGUUUCAGAGGGUUUGUUCUUAUUUCCACAGGUGAUGGAGAACUUUGGGUCAGAACGAAGGAUGUCUGCAUCAUCCAUUCAGAAGGGACAAGGCAAGCAGAAGAGAAAACACAGGCUGGCCAGGAAUUGAAGGAGUCAAAAGAAUAAGAAGAAGGCACUACACGAGCUUGUAACCAUGCUGUGACUCUUGUUAUCAUUGUCGGCGGUGGUACAGAACACAGCAGCAGAGACAGGAAAUACAAGAUGGACUUUUGUGACAAAAUCACCAUGGCUAAGACUGGCUACAUGGGGAGAGAUGAUACCUGAGGUUAUUCUACAAGGGAAUGCAUCUGCAGGAUGGGGGAAGGAAUUUAACUUUACACCUCAAAAGAAUGGUAUCAUACUAGGGCUGGUCAUAUUUUUGGUAUUAUAGAACACAAAAGUGAAUUAGUUUUAAGAAGACAAAAAAGGUGUAUUUCUUGUGUUGUUUUGGGUAUUGUUUCAUUAAUAGCUUUGAUUUCUUCUACUGUCUCUAUAGCACUGUCAAUUUCCACUGUUCAAAAUGAAAUUGUUCAAGAUAAAUUUUUGAAUGAACUUGCAAAAAAAUAUAUCUAUAGGCUUUGCUACACAAAAAUGUAUUGAUACUGAAUUUUACCACAUACUUGAGGGAAUGAAGGAAACCAUUAUUGAAACAGGUGAUGAAUUGGAUAUUUUAGAAUAUGGAACACAUUUACAAUGUGAUUAUAGGUUUCAAUUUAUGUGUCUUACCAAUGUUAUAUAUAAUUCAUCUAGAUGGGACUGGAUGAGGAUACGUAGACAUUUGAAUGGAUUGUUUGAAAAUUCUACAUUGUCAUUGGACAUAGAUGAGUUAUACCAUAUUGCUCAAGAAAUUUCACAUGCAGCCGACAGGGCUCUAAUGCCUGACAAAACAGCACAUUCUUGGCGCGUUGGUGCCAGGAUAAAGUCCUUUUAGACUUUGUUCUCAGUACCAAUAUGUCGGCUCACAUUCAAGCCUUGAAACAAGUGAUUGAACUGUCUCGCAACAUCACCACCAAACAGACUCAGAUUGAUCCAGUGCACAUACUUACUGACUGGAUUGAAGGACAACAUUCCGUUGUUCCCACGAUAAUUGCACAUGUUGUUUAUUUAGUGUUAUUUGCUGUAUUGUUCAUCAUUCUGUUGCUGUGCUUGCUGUCUUUUAUCAUUCGGCUUGUGAGGAACUCCAUUGGGACUUUAAAGGCAGAAAUGUUGCAGGCUAGACCGCUAGCUACUUUUCAGAGGAGGGCUUAGGCCUCUUUAAACAAAAAGGGGGAAUUGUGGGGAGCCGUAGGACCUUGAGGACCACAGGCUGUUCAUGAGACUUCACUGAUGGGCGAAGGCCCCUCUCGGGUGUUAGUACAUGUGCAGAAUAUCCUGGCUCGGUUCUCCAUCCAUGGACCUUGCAUUCCCCAAUCAGCAGAACUCUGAUAGUAGGCAAGCUCAAACUAUAACACAAUGUUGCUAGCUCAAGCACAGUCAGCUCUAGCACAAAGAGAUAUCCAGUAUUGCUAAACUUAUGUAUCAAGUAUUGCUAGUUCAAGUAUCAGUAUUGGGAACCUUCUGGGAACGAAAAGUACAUGGUGUUUUAUGGGAACAGCACGGGAGAAGGACACAGUCAGGAUAAUGUUGCAAAGAAAUGUACUUGUGGAUACUUUGAUUGUUAUUCGCAUGGGAAAGAUGUUUGGUGUUGCCUAUUGGUAAAGAUAUGUAAACCUUGUUGCUUUAUUCACUGUUACAUUGGAGUAUGUUCCCUUGAGUAAAAGAUAUAAAACGCUGAAGGCAGGACCAGGGAAAUAGUAGUAGUAGUAGUAGUAGUAGUAGUAGUAGUAGUAGUAGUAGUAGAGAGUAGGGUAGCUGCAUAGUUGCUUACCCGCUUGAGAUUCUCUCAAGCUGAAUAAACUUUUUGAAACUA